This 442-nucleotide ribosomal RNA is filed under the name uncultured bacterium. RNAcentral describes it as "partial 16S ribosomal RNA". It matches the Rfam family "Bacterial small subunit ribosomal RNA", at positions 338 to 795 of the family's 1533-position model. The record is from RNAcentral.
CCUACGGGAGGCAGCAGUGGGGAAUAUUGGGCAAUGGGCGCAAGCCUGACCCAGCAACGCCGCGUGAAGGAAGAAGGCCCUCGGGUUGUAAACUUCUUUUAUCAAGGACGAAACAAAUGACGGUACUUGAUGAAUAAGCCACGGCUAACUCCGUGCCAGCAGCCGCGGUAAUACGGAGGAUGCGAGCGUUAUCCGGAUUUAUUGGGUUUAAAGGGUGCGCAGGCGGAAUGUCAAGUCAGCGGUAAAAUUUCGGGGCUCAACCCCGUCGUGCCGUUGAAACUGGCGUUCUUGAGUGAGCGAGAAGUAUGCGGAAUGCGUGGUGUAGCGGUGAAAUGCAUAGAUAUCACGAAGAACCCCGAUUGCGAAGGCAGCUUACUAAACUGUGACUGACAUUGAUGCUCGAAAGUGUGGGUAUCAAACAGGAUUAGAUACCCUUGUAGUC